AGGUUGUGUUGGGGGCAAUUCCUUAGCAUUCCUUUAUACCUCUCCCAUGCUUCAUACAAAGACUCACCAUCAUGUUAUUCGAAGUUUUCUAUCUUCUUCUUGAGUUU
Small nucleolar RNA from Lactuca sativa (garden lettuce), 107 nucleotides. The record is from RefSeq and is a predicted model, not a curated record. NCBI's taxonomy places the organism in Eukaryota, Viridiplantae, Streptophyta, Magnoliopsida, Asterales, Asteraceae.